GACAAACGCUAUAAAAUGAGAGAGAGUUUUUUUUUCUGGGUAAACUCCGGUUAAGGAGUUUCCUCCUUAAAGUGAGAGGGAAUAUCAAAUAUGCAUUACUGUUGAGUCAGAGACCCACAUGCAAUGUUACCGGAGUUUAUGUCCAGUCGAAUUAUGCUUUUCUAAUCUGGAAGGAUUGGUUUUUUCGGGUGUUAACUGUAGUGUUAGUACAAAAAAAAACUGCUAUUUCUGUGAGUGUGACGAGGUGUCACAAUCAUCCAAUCAUGGUUUAUCAACUCUGCAAAUCUAGCAGGACUCCAUAUUAAUUACUAUGGAAAUUCAUAUGAAUAUCCAUAUGAUGAUAUAAUAUAAAAUUCAGAUUGUCCAUCUUCAAAAGUCCCGUUGCCAGCAACGUGAUAAAGGAGAGAGAAUACAGUAUAAUGUGUGUCAUCUUCUGAUACAACCUUAUCACUGGGCCAUCUUUGAUCUUUGUCAUGUUAGUUCUGCACAAAAAUAAAAAGAAAGCUUAGUUUUUGUACCGAAUUCAUAAAUUAUAAAACAAAAACAAGUUGUCAACUCCAAAAUGGCUAAAAGGUUAAACUUAUGUGCCUACCAUUACGUAAAGUUCUUCUAGAACCUUGAUUUAUAUGGUUGUACUACAUAUACUUAUAUCAAUCUAUCAUCUUUCCCGCAAAAUUUAAAUAUGAAACACCUUUAUAACAACGUGAACCUUCUAAUACUACUAAAAAACAAAAAUCAUGUACCUUUGAAAGAUUUUAAUGACCAUACAUAGUUUGCCGGUGGAAAAACAGUAUUCAGUACUUUUUUUUGAUAAGUUAUUGCAGAAUACAGGAAUACAGCUACGUUAAACUUACCUAAUACUUUACAAUAUUGACAACAAUUAGUUAAUAAUUAAUCUCAACUGUAUCAAAAUCAUGGUGCAGUACUGCAAGGUGUGUCCUUCAUAUCGGCCAUACAUAUCUAAUUAUUUAUACAUAGACUUGUUAAUUGAAAUAUAUGGAAAAAAACAAAUAAUUAAUCCAUUUACUUAAAUUUGACAGCCACUUUUACCUCUCUAAACAUCACGAUGAUGAGAAGAUCUACUCGUCAUCUAUAUCUGCUCGCGGCUCGCCUGCCAACUUGAAAUACCUUCACAUUGUCUGUCUUUAUCACCCAAACUGAUCAAAUUAAAAUCAGAUAGGACCCUGUCUAGGUUUAUUGAGCCUGAUCGAUAAACACCAAUAACUCACUCAAAAAGUCUAAACCAUGGUGGGUCUGGCUCGAAUCUUAUCUAGAAAAAAUAAUCGAAUUAUGGGAAACACAUUCAAAGUUGCCUAUAGUUUUAUCCUAUGAAUGAAUGCAGCAUCCACAUCUCCAACUCUCUUCUCAAACACUGUAUCUCUCCAUCUCAUCUUCAUCAGUUCUAGAUCGUUUGAUUGAAGAUAACAUAGACAUCAUUUUCUUGUGGGACCCACUUAGGUUUAACUUGAUAUGCGUUGUCACGUGCCAUGUGUC
Molecule: long non-coding RNA, 1494 nt
Filed under: Aquilegia coerulea
Lineage: Eukaryota; Viridiplantae; Streptophyta; Magnoliopsida; Ranunculales; Ranunculaceae
Description: long non-coding RNA (ACOE_LNC000812)
Source: RNAcentral